CUAUAGACACGCCCCAGGCUAUGGAUCAUGUUUUUCACAUCACCCGUUAAUUACUAAAUAAAACAACCGAGCUUUCAACCUGAUUAGCCCAGAUUAAUGGCCAGCAGCGGGUUUCACGUGCCUGCACAAUUUAUCACUGAAAAGAACUGUGUCUUUAAUGAUUUAGCUACCUGGCCUAGCAGGGCCGGCUCAGGGCCGCAGGCCUCCGAGAGGAGUUAAUUGCUGUUCUUCGUUUCUGACCUGGAAAGGCCCAGGUGACAGUUCCCAUUAGCCAGGCUUGGCCUGCUUGAUGACAAAGGAUGGCAGGAAGCCCUUCCCUCCCACUUUGUUCGGAAGAUACAUCGAGGUCAAGUGUCCCACCACGCCAGCUGCCUGCUAGAACAGAUACAGAACAGAUUUCCUGUUUCCGAAGAAAUAUGCAUACUGAAGCCUAAACUUGCAUCCCAAACAAGCAAUCUGAGAAGUUUUGUGAUGGUGGAUGUCCUGGAUAAAUCUACUGGGGUUUAGGAUGUCAGGAUUCUGCUCCCAGCUUCUCCUCUGACCGGCAGAUGUCUUCAGAGGCAAGCACAGAAACGAGUGAAAUGGAGACUGGGUUUUAUAACUGCUGUGGUUUGUAACUUCCCUGCCCUCUGUUGCUCACUUCUAGGGUCAUUGGGCUUUCUCUCAGGUUUGAGCAUGUUAUGAAUGAACCACAAUGAGGGAGAAGCUCCAUGUGGACGUGCCCCUUGACUGUGGCGAUGGUGGUGGUCAGCAAGCACUUUCUAGGUGUCUGGCACAGCUCUGGUCUCAGUGGGGCUGCAAAAGAAGAAAAACGGGUGAUGAUCCAGGCUGAAGAUGGUAGCGGCCUGCCGCUGGGUCCUGGCCACAGCUGGGGCUGAGCUGCGCUCCUGGCUGAGGGUUCAGCUGGCAUGUGGAAGGGCCUCAUGCCCUUCAUAGCGCCCCCUCUGGUGGGAGAGAGCAUGCCAAACACCUUCCUGAGGUUGCUGCACAGACAGCACAAGAGACUCAAGGUCUGGCCUACCCUGUCUCCGCACGGGUCCACCCUUUCCCUGGGAAGGCUAACCAUGCUCGAUUCUACAACCCUCACGUGAGUCUGCUUCCGACCGACUAUGAAGAUGAACAAAGGGAACUGGACUGCUACCCAGGCUCCAGUUUGGACAAUUACUCUGCAUGUGGAGCAGUGGUGUACAGAAUCUUCAGCUCGCCUUCUUUACUUGUAUCAAGUGAUGACCAGUGCACUGAUCUUCCAUCCCUUUGCUUUGUGGCAGGAUAUGGCUUAAAUA
This 1283-nucleotide long non-coding RNA is filed under the name Equus caballus (horse). RNAcentral describes it as "lncRNA (ENSECAG00000053046.1)". The record is from RNAcentral. Lineage: Eukaryota; Metazoa; Chordata; Mammalia; Perissodactyla; Equidae.